This 1441-nucleotide long non-coding RNA is filed under the name Vulpes vulpes (red fox). RNAcentral's name for it is "lncRNA (ENSVVUG00000007583.1)". The record is from RNAcentral. Lineage: Eukaryota; Metazoa; Chordata; Mammalia; Carnivora; Canidae.
UGGGACUCGAUCCUGGGACACGGGGUCACGCCCUGAGCCCAAGGCAGACGCUCAGCCCCUGAGCCCCCCAAAUGCCCCCCUUUUUGCAUAGAAUUUGAGAAUGAUUUUUGACUUUGAAUUGUACUCAUAUGCACCUCAGUAAGCUUUUACGUGACUCAUAGAAGAAAAGUCUGAGUGACAUAAGUGAGGAAACCGUUGAACAACCUCACAACCUCUCCUUCUGUAAUAGCUCUCAGAAAGGGGCCUCAAUAAAUUAAAACACUGAGAUUUCUAAUAACUUUAAAGGCAUCAUUGUGUUUUUCACUGCCUACGGUAACGGACACCCCAAAGGUGGGGGCGCCUGAGCUCAGUGUCCAGGGUUACCUUCCCCACACCCAUUCUACAGCAGUCGUGUAGUUUAGGUGGAAUUAACCCCUCCAUCAGCCCCAGGGCUCAGGUCUGAUUGUUAGGAUACAUCGGGAUCAUCCCACCCCCUUGCCGUGGACGUUGGCUUCAGUGGCCUUGGCUUAAGCCAAUCGAUGGCUGGGUCAGCGGGAAUCUCAGAACGUCUGUUAGGUAGUUGCGGAGAGCAACCUAUCUUUCCCAGAUAAGAAAAAGGAAGCACGUGAAUCUACUUGUACCGACAGAUAUCCUAUAACUUCAAGGGGUCCGGCCCUCGGGUGAAGCCCACACUGUCGACGGAAGAUAGAGCUCUGAAAAAAAAAUGGAAGCAACAGAGUCAACGAUGACAUCAUGGAGCUAACUGUUCUGAAACUCACACCCCCGGAGUUCCACGGAACCUAUUAACUCCGUCAUUGUUUAAGGUGAGGCGAGUUGGUCUUUCCGUCACUUGGAAUGGAGAGGCUUUCCAACUGAGGCAGAAACAUUGGUCUGUGGCACACCCCGAAAAUCACAUUAAAAUGAGCACAGAUGAUUAUGAAUGUUCCGAGUGGACUCCUUGCCGCCCACCUGGCUUAAGGACUGUAAGGCACUUCGGAAAUCAAAUUUCAGGAAAGAAGAUUGGUUUGAGAAACAAUGAACGAGGAGAAAUCUUCUCUUUGCAGAGCUGCUGUGUGUCAAAGUUUAUCCUCAUUAUAUUAUGGUAGGAAGAAAAGAACAAAUUAAGACAUUUAACUGUUUAAAAUUUGAGACCCAAUUACAUUUAACACUGCAAAUCGUGUUACAGGACCUGUGGGCUUACCCUCUCCCUGUGUGAAGUCUGGUUGUAUGUUAGCAAAUAACAUUUUUUUUUUUUAAAUUGUGGAGUGGGUCUGAGCUAAGUGGAUAAUCACCACUACACAUUCUCUGCCAUAUAAAAGAAGAUCCUGUAGGAUCUAAAGAGUUUUAUAAUGAUAUCAAAAGUCCUUAAAAAGACUUUUAAAUAUGCUCCUUCCCUGCCCACUAUGGCUAGCGCCGGCGUGCUUUAAAUUAAGAGCAAUUGUGUAACUGCUCAAGUUCUAAU